CUACGGGCGGCAGCAGUGGGGAAUAUUGCACAAUGGAGGAAACUCUGAUGCAGCAACGCCGCGUGGAGGAUGACACUUUUCGGAGCGUAAACUCCUUUUAUAUAGGAAGAAGAUGACGGUACUAUAUGAAUAAGCGCCGGCUAACUCCGUGCCAGCAGCCGCGGUAAUACGGAGGGCGCAAGCGUUACGCGGAAUCACUGGGCGUAAAGAGCGUGUAGGCGGAUUAAAAAGUCAGAAGUGAAAUCCUAUAGCUUAACUAUAGAACUGCUUCUGAAACUCUUAAUCUAGAAUAUGGGAGAGGUAGAUGGAAUUUCUGGUGUAGGGGUAAAAUCCGUAGAGAUCAGAAGGAAUACCGAUUGCGAAGGCGAUCUACUAGAACAUUAUUGACGCUGAGACGCGAAAGCGUGGGGAGCAAACAGGAUUAGAUACCCGGGUAGUC
RNAcentral lists this ribosomal RNA (439 nucleotides) under uncultured bacterium. RNAcentral's name for it is "partial 16S ribosomal RNA". It matches the Rfam family "Bacterial small subunit ribosomal RNA", at positions 339 to 795 of the family's 1533-position model. The record is from RNAcentral.